Molecule: ribosomal RNA, 253 nt
Filed under: uncultured bacterium
Lineage: Bacteria
Description: partial 16S ribosomal RNA
Rfam family: Bacterial small subunit ribosomal RNA
Source: RNAcentral
GACAGAGGGUGCAAACGUUGCUCGGAAUUACUGGGCGUAAAGCGCGUGUAGGUGGAUUGGUGUGUCAGAUGUGAAAGCCCUGGGCUCAACCCAGGAACUGCACCUGAAACUACCAGUCUUGAGUGGUGGAGAGGGAAGUGGAAUUCCUGGUGUAGAGGUGAAAUGCGUAGAUAUCAGGAGGAACACCGAUGGCGAAGGCAGGUCUCUGGGCUGAAACUGACGCUCAUGCACGAAAGCGUGGGGAGCAAACAGG